RNAcentral lists this non-coding RNA (122 nucleotides) under Thiobacillus denitrificans. RNAcentral's name for it is "Glycine sequence". It matches the Rfam family "Glycine riboswitch aptamer". Rfam says of the family: This family represents the bacterial glycine riboswitch. Glycine riboswitches usually consist of two metabolite-binding aptamers domains with similar structures in tandem. Lineage: Bacteria; Pseudomonadati; Pseudomonadota; Betaproteobacteria; Nitrosomonadales; Thiobacillaceae. The record is from RNAcentral. RNAcentral also lists the same sequence under 1 other name.
GGCACACACUCUGGAGAGCGCAGUCGCCUUCUUGAAGCGCGAACUGCCACCGAAGGGGCAGCGGCGCCGGUUGAUCAACCUGGCACCGUAAUCUCUCAGGUACCAAGGACAGAGGGGUUCAC